RNAcentral lists this ribosomal RNA (460 nucleotides) under uncultured bacterium. Its description in RNAcentral is "bacterial SSU rRNA". It matches the Rfam family "Bacterial small subunit ribosomal RNA", at positions 381 to 860 of the family's 1533-position model. The record is from RNAcentral.
AGCUGAUCAGCAUGCCGCGUGAGUGAUGAAGGCCUUAGGGUUGUAAAGCUCUUUUACCCGGGAUGAUCAUGACAGGACCGGGAGAAUAAGCUCCGGCUAACUCCGUGCCAGCAGCCGCGGUAAUACGGAGGGAGCUAGCGUUGUUCGUAAUUACUGGGCGUAAAGCGCACGUAGGCGGCUUUGUAAGUUAGAGGUGAAAGCCUGGAGCUCAACUCCGAAACUGCCUUUAAGACUGCAUCUCUUGAAUCCAGGAGAGGUGAGUGGAAUUCCGAGUGUAAAGGUGAAAUUCGUAUAUCUUCGGAAGAACACCAGUGGCGAAAGCGGCUCACUGGACUGGUAUUGACGCUGAGGUGCGAAAGCGUGGGGAGAAAACAGGAUUAGAUACCCUGGUAGUCCACGCCGUAUACAAUGAUUGCUAGCCCUCCGGGGACUUGAUCUUUGGGUGGCGCAGCUGACGCUC